RNAcentral lists this unclassified non-coding RNA (292 nucleotides) under fungal sp. RNAcentral describes it as "partial internal transcribed spacer region". The stretch from base 1 to 46 matches the Rfam family "Eukaryotic small subunit ribosomal RNA", at positions 1786 to 1831 of the family's 1831-position model. Lineage: Eukaryota; Fungi. The record is from RNAcentral.
AAGUCGUAACAAGGUUUCCGUAGGUGAACCUGCGGAAGGAUCAUUAAUGAAUGAUAAUUUUUUGGGGUUUUCCCUGAAAAAUAAUUCACCCUUUGUGCAUUGUUAUUAGAUAUACUUUGGUUAGAGCUUUGAUUUCAUUUAUUGGAAUCAACUUCUCGCUGACUCUAUCCUUUUUGAGGACAGUUAGCCAUGAAGCGGCCUACCAAGGUUUUUUUAUCAAACUCUUAUAUCUUGUCUGACCUAAAUAUCAAUAAUUAAAUCAUAACUUUCAACAACGGAUCUCUUGGCUCUC